Molecule: long non-coding RNA, 1378 nt
Organism: Pogoniulus pusillus (Red-fronted tinkerbird)
Lineage: Eukaryota; Metazoa; Chordata; Aves; Piciformes; Lybiidae
Exons: 3
Source: RefSeq, a predicted model, not a curated record
AAUUUGCCUGGAAAGAAACAAGAACAGAACCAAGGAGAAGCACUUCGCAGGUAUUUCUGCACUCGUUUUAAUUCUUAUACAAAAGAAAUGCUCUGUAUCACCCUGAGACUGCUGUAUACUUACAGUGAGAUAUGAUCCAAGGGCUGGGGCAUCUCUGCUGUGAGAACAGGCUGAAGGAGCUUAGGGGUGUUCAGCCUGGAGAAGACUCCAGGAUGACCUCUGAGGUGCCCUCCAAUACCUAAAGGGAUCCUCCAGGAAAACUGCAGAGGGACUUUUCCUGAGGGUGUCUAGACACAGGCCAAGGGGGAAUGGUUUGAAGCUGAGGCAGAGUGGAGUUAGACUGGAGCUGAGGAAGAAGUUCUUCAGUGUGAGGGUGGUGAGACUCUGGCACAGGCUGCCCAGGGAGGCUGUGGCUGCCUCCUUCCUGCCUAGGGGUGUUGAAGGCCAGGCUGGAUGAGGCCUUGAGCAGCUGACUGUAGCUGAGAGGUGUCCCUGGGCGUGGUGGGAAUGUUGGAGGAGAUCUCAUACUCAUUUAUCAGGGCUGUGACUGAAGAAUAUUGUCUUUGACAACCACCUAAUUCUGACUGUGUUGAUCAGUGAGCUGAUUUAUGUUCAGGAGUCACAGCUCAAGGAACAGUUCUGUUUGUGAGAUUGUGCUGCACAGCCAGCACUGCAGGAAGCUUAGGAGCUUUGUGGAACAGGAAGAUACUGCUUAAUGUACUUAUGAAAGGUUGAAACCUGCAUGUGGAAAAGCAUCCAAUUAUUCAGAUUCAGUGUAAACAUAGUGUACAGGAGUUCUUAAUUAGUCACAGCUCCUAAUGUUGGAAAUGGAAUUUACUGCUGAGGAAUCCUGAAAAGCAGAUCCCAAGCACUGCACUCUCACAACAUGACAAUGUCAACCUUUAAAAAGUUCUGAUGAGUAAAACUGAGCCCCUAAAAAUGACCACCAUGGUGUGCAGACACCAUGGCUAAAGAGAUUGGUCCUUCUCUCUCCCCCUUUCAAAAGUUACAGGUCAGCACUUAAAUAAGUUCUAAGUGCUCCACUACUGUUUCCAUUCAAUCUUCACAACAUUUUCUAUAGCUUUAAUUUCUUACAGGCACUGGAAAUCCUUCGUGUUCAAGGCGCAGCUGUGGAUCCCAGAAAGCAGCUUUCCAGCAAGUCAGUCUCCUUUAUUAGGUCCCUCCAGCUGACAGCCUCCUUGGCCUGUGCACCUGAUCUCAGGCCACCUGCACAAAGGCUCUAAACAGCUAAAACCAUGGCCUGCAUCUUACCGAAUCAUGGUGAACUCAGUUCUGCUUUCACACCACUUCUACGCUGAUUUAAACUUCCUUGGAAUUACUCACAGCAAUAGGCAGAGCAGAAUCAAGCUUAAUGUGU